CGAGUCGGUCGGAUGAUCGCGGGCAGCAAUGUUCGAGGAAAGUCCGGACUCCAUAGGGCAAGAGUGGUGGAUAACGUCCACCUGGGGUGACCCACGGGAAAGUGCAACAGAAAGUAAACCGCCUAGCAAUAGGUAAGGGUGAAACGGUGAGGUAAGAGCUCACCAGUACUUAUGGCGACAUAGGUAGCUAGGUAAACCCCACUCGGAGCAAGACCAAGUAGCAGGUGACUGCCCGUCACACGCCUGCAGGUAGGUUGCAACAGGUUGUUGGUAACAACAAUCGCAGAUGGAUGAUCAUCGCGCGCAAGCGUACAGAAUCCGGCUUACAGACCGACUCGUCUA
Molecule: RNase P RNA, 342 nt
Filed under: Actinomycetota bacterium
Lineage: Bacteria; Bacillati; Actinomycetota
Description: Actinobacteria bacterium RNase P RNA component class A
Rfam family: Bacterial RNase P class A
About the family: Ribonuclease P (RNase P) is a ubiquitous endoribonuclease, found in archaea, bacteria and eukarya as well as chloroplasts and mitochondria. Its best characterised activity is the generation of mature 5'-ends of tRNAs by cleaving the 5'-leader elements of precursor-tRNAs.
Source: RNAcentral